UGAAGUUAAUAAAUCGUAUAUAUUCGGUAAUAUGGUCCGAACGUCUCUACCCAGUCACCUUAAAUGAUUGGACUACGAUAAAUC
Molecule: non-coding RNA, 84 nt
Filed under: bovine gut metagenome
Description: Purine riboswitch
Rfam family: Purine riboswitch aptamer (bases 13-79)
About the family: Riboswitches are metabolite binding domains within certain messenger RNAs that serve as precision sensors for their corresponding targets. Allosteric rearrangement of mRNA structure is mediated by ligand binding, and this results in modulation of gene expression.
Source: RNAcentral